UGGGGAAUAUUGGACAAUGGGGGCAACCCUGAUCCAGCAAUGCCGCGUGUGUGAAGAAGGCCUGAGGGUUGUAAAGCACUAUCAGUGGGGAGGAGGCUUUAAUGGUUAAGAGCUGUUGAAGUGGACGUUACCCACAGAAGAAGCACCGGCUAACUCCGUGCCAGCAGCCGCGGUAAUACGGAGGGUGCGAGCGUUAAUCGGAAUUACUGGGCGUAAAGGGUGCGCAGGUGGUUUUGUAAGUUAUCUGUGAAAGCCCCGGGCUUAACCUGGGAAAGCCAGAUAAAACUACGAGACUCGAGUACGGGAGAGGGCAGUGGAAUUUCCGGUGUAGCGGUGAAAUGCGUAGAGAUCGGAAGGAACACCAGUGGCGAAGGCGGCUGCCUGGCCUGAUACUGACACUGAGGCACGAAAGCGUGGGGAGCAAACAGG
Molecule: ribosomal RNA, 429 nt
Filed under: uncultured bacterium
Lineage: Bacteria
Description: bacterial SSU rRNA
Rfam family: Bacterial small subunit ribosomal RNA
Source: RNAcentral